This 253-nucleotide ribosomal RNA is filed under the name uncultured bacterium. Its description in RNAcentral is "partial 16S ribosomal RNA". It matches the Rfam family "Bacterial small subunit ribosomal RNA", at positions 524 to 776 of the family's 1533-position model. The record is from RNAcentral.
UACGGAGGAUGCAAGCGUUAUCCGGAAUGAUUGGGCGUAAAGCGUCCGCAGGUGGCUGUGUAAGUCUGCUGUUAAAGAGUGAGGCUCAACCUCAUAAAAGCAGUGGAAACUACACAGCUAGAGUGCGUUCGGGGCAGAGGGAAUUCCUGGUGUAGCGGUGAAAUGCGUAGAGAUCAGGAAGAACACCGGUGGCGAAGGCGCUCUGCUAGGCCGCAACUGACACUGAGGGACGAAAGCUAGGGGAGCGAAUGGG